This 73-nucleotide transfer RNA is filed under the name Camelus bactrianus (Bactrian camel). It matches the Rfam family "tRNA". From Rfam's summary of the family: Transfer RNA (tRNA) molecules are approximately 80 nucleotides in length. Their secondary structure includes four short double-helical elements and three loops (D, anti-codon, and T loops). RNAcentral also lists the same sequence under 2 other names. The record is from Rfam by way of RNAcentral. Lineage: Eukaryota; Metazoa; Chordata; Mammalia; Artiodactyla; Camelidae.
GAGAGUAUAGCUCAAGUGGUAGAGCACAUGAUUAGCUCACACAAGGUCCUGGGUUCAAUUCCCAGUACCUCCU